AGCCCCAGGAGGAAGGGGGGACUGCUAGCAGCGUAGGAUUGAGGAGUUGGAAGAGACCUUUAGAACAGCUGGUCAUUAUGCCGACCGGGUGCCUGCACUAAGUUCGGCAUCAGUGUGGUGACCUCCUGUGAGCGGGGGGGUCACCAAGUUGCCUAAGGAUGGCUGAACUGGCCAAGGUCAGAAAGGGAGCAGGUCAGAACUCCCACAUCGACCAGUAGUGGGAGUGUGCCUGGGCGGAAUAGCAAGAUCUUGAUUCUUAAAAGUAAAAAUAAAGAACAACAGCUCAUUGCU
RNAcentral lists this signal recognition particle RNA (291 nucleotides) under Pan troglodytes (chimpanzee). The stretch from base 70 to 244 matches the Rfam family "Metazoan signal recognition particle RNA", at positions 87 to 260 of the family's 299-position model. From Rfam's summary of the family: The signal recognition particle (SRP) is a universally conserved ribonucleoprotein. It is involved in the co-translational targeting of proteins to membranes. The record is from RNAcentral. Lineage: Eukaryota; Metazoa; Chordata; Mammalia; Primates; Hominidae.